Molecule: long non-coding RNA, 801 nt
Filed under: Nicotiana benthamiana
Lineage: Eukaryota; Viridiplantae; Streptophyta; Magnoliopsida; Solanales; Solanaceae
Description: long non-coding RNA (NBEN_LNC038591)
Source: RNAcentral
UUUUCUUUGGUGUGAUUGAAGUUUAUUUCCUUCACGAAAUAAGGACAAUAAAAGCUUAUGCAUCAACUUAUUCGAUACCAUUUCCUAUUGUCUGAAGUAUAAUCAAUCACCCCUUUUGUUGUUGCUAGCAAGACCCAAUAUUCCCAUUAACUUUUGCAUAAAAUGAUAUGUCUCGCACAUGGUGUUAUACUUGUGCAGCUCCCAAGCCAAGACUAUUGCCUUUGCUUCAAUAUUUCAGUUACUUUCCCUGCAUAUUCCGUUCCAAUUUUUUCUGUUUUCACGAUAACAUAUUUAACUUUAGCAGCUUCUUCCACAACAUAGGUUGCUAGACUCUUGCUUUGUUCUUGAACACUUUAUUUUGCAAUUGAAUCUAUCUCCCCAGGGGAAGGAGUUAUUGUUUCACCAAUUGUAGUGAUCUUCUCCUUAAUCUUCCAUGUUCUGGGACAACAAAGAACGAAAGGAGAAAAAAUAAUGCAUACUCUAUCCAGAGAAAAAAAAAUUAUUUGAAGGUUGAACAAAAAUAUACCUAUUAUAUAAAACUGAUUAAAAAUAUUCGUGAAGGAAUAAUGGUAUCAUAUACCGGUAUCAUAAUUGUCCUUGAACACGAGAUACUUGAACCAAUUUUUAUUGCUUGCUUCAGUUUUUUAAUCCACCUCGCACCAAAGCAGCCAAAGACCCAAUUACAAUCUCACACACAUAUUUCGAACCACUUGACUCCCUUAGCAACACAAUGUCGAACAAAAUUGAGCUUCACUUUGGAGUCUAUAAUUAUUUGUAAGCUUUCGCUACGUAUAAAUUUAU